CCAGGAUGUAGUAUGAUGGUCACUCACUGCUGGUUUCUUCUCGCCUUUACGUCUCAGAUCAAUAAAAGCCGAUAUCUCGCCUUUACGUCUCAGAGUGAGUUAUUGAUGGUGCAUCAAGAAGGCCAUGGACUGACAUGUCAGAAACCUUGUGUCAGGACCGAGACUGGAGAGAGGAGAUGGCCAGCAUACAGACAGUUGUUGCAAUGAUACAUGGAGCGAAAUGGUCCCUGUGGAAACCAUGGUGAUCAUCAGUAAGCAGAAUAUUGUUGAAUAGAAUAUGUAGUGCUUGUUAACACUGUCAUGACUUUGUUAAUAAAGAAAAAUAGACUGAAGGAGGAGUCAUACUUAUUGUGAAC
Long non-coding RNA from Hypanus sabinus (Atlantic stingray), 356 nucleotides. RefSeq lists it as uncharacterized. The record is from RefSeq and is a predicted model, not a curated record. NCBI's taxonomy places the organism in Eukaryota, Metazoa, Chordata, Chondrichthyes, Myliobatiformes, Dasyatidae. The transcript has 3 exons.